Oncorhynchus kisutch (coho salmon) is the source of this 1029-nucleotide long non-coding RNA. RefSeq lists it as uncharacterized. The record is from RefSeq and is a predicted model, not a curated record. NCBI's taxonomy places the organism in Eukaryota, Metazoa, Chordata, Actinopteri, Salmoniformes, Salmonidae. The transcript is spliced from 3 exons.
AGGGCUGAAGCGGGGCAGGGUGAAGAGGGCUCGGGCCACCACUCCCCCCAUGGAGUGACCCACCAACACCACACUAUGAGGGGGGGCUUCAUGAUCCUGUGGAGAAAGAGAGGCGCAGGAUGGCCUUGAUGCUCUCGUGUAGGAAGUGGGUCUGCCGGCGCAGGCUGCCUCCAUACAGGGCCACAAGCUCCUCGUUGAAGUCGAUGGUGAACACGUUGAGGUGGACCCCUCCUUCCAGGGCCUCAGCCUUCCUCAGAGCCACCGAACCCAGGGAGCGAGCUGAACUGUUUCCCUCUUGGUGGAUUGGACAUUAUGCUGUAUUUCAAGCAGAAGAUGACUCAAGAGAAUGGCAGUUUGAUAAUGACCACUCCCACAGCCGUACAAUUAUUCCCUGAACUUUACGACACUGUUCACUCUUAUCUUACUGCAUGUUCCUUUGUGAAUGUCAAUUUCAUCAUGACCACCUCUCCCAUCAUCUGCUGAUCGCCAGUUCUUAGCUAUAGAUUAUAAAACCAGAUAAUGUGAUUUAACCAAAGAUUGUUCUUACUGGGAGUUACUGGAUAGGUACUCUUUGGUAUAUCACAGAGGAUUUUCAACCAACCUUAGUGAUGCCGUCUUCGUUUAGACACCCAACUGUCUCGAUCAAUGAGAGAAGGCUUGAAAUAGACAAGGUGGUGGCAUACCCUUUGUUGGAUUACUUCGUGGAGCAAAACAAAUAUUUUAAUGACGGAGCAUUUUCUAAAUUCAAAAAGGACCCCUGCAACUAGACACAGACAUUUUGAGACUUGUGUUCCCAGAAUCGAGCACGAAGGCAGUAUUGCUAAGCGAAGGCUGGUCGAAAAUUCUCUGUGUUACACCAAGCAGUACCUAUCCUGUAACUCCCAGUAAUGGAUACCGAAAAUAUUUGGUUAAAUCACAUUAUCUGAUGUAACAAUCUGUAGCUACAGUUUUCUACACACUGAACUGUACUACAUUGUUCAUACUGUAUUUGUGUCUGCUACUUUUACCAUAAAACAUUCUUGUUGAAUA